Molecule: transfer RNA, 88 nt
Filed under: Aminobacter ciceronei
Lineage: Bacteria; Pseudomonadati; Pseudomonadota; Alphaproteobacteria; Hyphomicrobiales; Phyllobacteriaceae
Description: tRNA-Arg
Source: RNAcentral
AGCUGUCAUUCAUAACGGUGGGCAGCGAAUGUCUGGCUCUGCCCUCCGAAGGCAGAGGUCACAGCUUCGAAUCUUGUCGGGUGCGCCA